GUAAGGAAUAUUGGUCAAUGGAGGCAACUCUGAACCAGCCAUGCCGCGUGCAGGAAGACGGCCCUAUGGGUUGUAAACUGCUUUUAUACGGGAAUAAACCUCUCUACGUGUAGCGAGUUGAAUGUACUGUAAGAAUAAGGAUCGGCUAACUCCGUGCCAGCAGCCGCGGUAAUACGGAGGAUCCAAGCGUUAUCCGGAUUUAUUGGGUUUAAAGGGUGCGUAGGCGGCCGAUUAAGUCAGGGGUGAAAGACGGUGGCUCAACCAUCGCAGUGCCAUUGGUACUGAUGGGCUUGAUUACACUUGAAGUAGGCGGAAUGUGACAAGUAGCGGUGAAAUGCAUAGAUAUGUCACAGAACACCAAUUGCGAAGGCAGCUCACUAAGGCGAUACUGACGCUGAGGCACGAAAGCGUGGGGAUCGAACAGGAUUAGAUACCCCAGUAGUCC
RNAcentral lists this ribosomal RNA (445 nucleotides) under uncultured bacterium. Its description in RNAcentral is "partial 16S ribosomal RNA". It matches the Rfam family "Bacterial small subunit ribosomal RNA", at positions 354 to 796 of the family's 1533-position model. The record is from RNAcentral.